AUUGAACGCUGGCGGCAGGCUUAACACAUGCAAGUCGAGCGGAAGAAGGGAGCUUGUUUGUGGAUCCAGAGGCGGAAGGGGGUGUAUUGCCCAGGAAUCUGCCUGGUAGUGGGGGAUAAUGUCUGGAAACGGGUGCUAAUACUGCCUACGUCGUGAGGGAGCAGGUGGGGGGUGUUCGGACAUUUUGCUCUCAGAUGAGUGUAGGCCGGAUUAGUUAGUUGGUGGGGUAAAGGCCUACCAAGCCGAGUAUCGGUAACUGGACUGAGAGGAGGAUCAGUCACACGGGAGCUGAGACACGCACCUUGCGCCUACGGGAGGCAGCAGUGUGGAAUAUGGGACAGUGGGGGGAAACCUGAUCCAGCGAGGCCGCGUGUGUGAAGAAAGUCUUCGGUUUGUAAAGCACUUUAUCGUGGGGGAAAGGGCAUUAGGUUGAUACCUUGCUUGAUUGACGGUACCGGCAGAAUAAGCACCGGCUAACUACGUG
Molecule: ribosomal RNA, 484 nt
Filed under: uncultured bacterium
Lineage: Bacteria
Description: partial 16S ribosomal RNA
Rfam family: Bacterial small subunit ribosomal RNA
Source: RNAcentral